Molecule: ribosomal RNA, 445 nt
Filed under: uncultured bacterium
Lineage: Bacteria
Description: partial 16S ribosomal RNA
Rfam family: Bacterial small subunit ribosomal RNA
Source: RNAcentral
GUGAGGAAUAUUGGACAAUGGGCGCAAGCCUGAUCCAGCCAUGCCGCGUGCAGGAAGACGCAUCUAUGGUGUGUAAACUGCUUUUGUACGGGAAGAAACACUCCCUCGUGAGGGAGCUUGACGGUACCGUAAGAAUAAGGAUCGGCUAACUCCGUGCCAGCAGCCGCGGUAAUACGGAGGAUCCAAGCGUUAUCCGGAAUCAUUGGGUUGAAAGGGUCCGUAGGCGGUUUAAUAAGUCAGUGGUGAAAGCCCAUCGCUCAACGAUGGAACGGCCAUUGAUACUGUUAGACUUGAAUUACAAGGAAGUAACUAGAAUAUGUAGUGUAGCGGUGAAAUGCUUAGAUAUUACAUGGAAUACCAAUUGCGAAGGCAGGUUACUACUUGUGGAUUGACGCUGAUGGACGAAAGCGUGGGGAGCGAACAGGAUUAGAUACCCCGGUAGUCC